GGUGUGAAAAAGUGGGAACCUUGCUGAAGGUGAUCAGUGAUUUAAGGCAGCAGCAUAGCUAAUUUAUUUCAGCUAGUUUAAGAGAUGAAAGAAACAGAGGAAAAAAAUUGCUAUCAUUUCUUGCCUGUAACCUGCGGUUUAUUCUGUGCAUAUUCGUGGUAGAUAUUUGUGGAAGAAGCCAUUCACAAGUAAAGAGAAGUGCCAGGGAAAGGAGCUUUCAGACCGGCUGCUGUGGGAGAAUCCUCUGUGGCUGGCCACUAUGCUCAUUCAUAUUUAAGAAGACUGAAGCCCAGAGCAGGGCAGUGCCCACAUUCUCUGCAUGACUCAUGCUGCAGCUGGAGGGUGCUCAGGAAGUCACUGUGCCAACAGCAAAGCUUGGAAAGUAGCCAAAAGAAAACAUUUAUGAUGGGAGAAAGCAGUGCAGUAGGACAUGCCUUGCCACUGCGGCACAUACCUGGUCAGGGGCUGGAUAUUGCCCUUGAAUGGGGCCCUGCUGGCGAGACAGGCAGAGGAGCACCCACAACUCCCUGGGAAAGCUGGACAUGAGGAGAAGAAAACUGGCACAGGCAGAGAGUCUUGUUGAAAGCACUGAGUAUAUCGCAUGCCUUCUUCUGCCUAGCCCAGCAGCCCAGCAAAGCACUGAAAUCAAGAGCUGAGGUUUGUUAACAUCUACCUGAACAGACUGACAGCUUGCAAAGUUGGAUUCUGUGGUCUACCAUUUAUUUUUUUUUAACCCAUGCUGCACUGGUUAUCUGCCAGUCUUGCAUGAGAGCAAGCUGCAGAAAGCAGAGGCAGAAGCAUUUCUGGUACACUCAGGAGCAGUCUCACUGUGACUACAGCCAUCUGUAUUUUGAUUUUAGAAUGGCAACUCUCACUGUAGUAUCUUUGCGUUCUCCAAGAGGUAAUCUCUGAAAGUAAAUACAUGUAUGCUGCUCCCCUGAGUUGCCUAGAUUGGAUUCGUCCUUUAAUUCCAUGUUCUGGUGGAAUUGCUUAUGUAAAGGGCUUUUUCUCUUCAUUAUACUAAGGUUAUAAUUCCAGAGUAUGGAGAAUUAGGCAAACAUUUCUUAUCAUACAACCACAGCCCGUGGGCGUGAUGGGCUUAGGGCCAACAUCUCUGAGCAGGCAAAUGUUUUUUGUCAUUUUGAAGAGUUAGGAAAUCAGACAGAUCACACAGAAAUGAGGAGUAGUAAAUGUGUUUCAUUAAAAAAUGUUUUCUCAAGAUGGUUUGAACAAAAAUAUUGAAUAUUGGAAAUAUUGUUAUUACACCUUUUCCAGCACUGCAAACAAAGGCCAGCGGGCCUGUUUUAUAGGAGUUAAGUAGUGGGGGAUGGAAACGAGUGGAUAAAGACAAACAAUUUAACAGGCAUUGAUGGAGGGGAUGAUUGCAAAGCAAAACAACCCCAAAGUCUAGAGGGGAGACGUAUGAGCAGCAGCUGAGGUCCCCUGGUUGGCUCAGCCAGGAGCAGAGGAGCUGUGGGGAGGCCUCAUGGCGGCUGCAGCUCCUCACAGGGAGUGGAGAGGCAGCGCUGAGCUCUGCUCUGUGUGACAGCGACAGGGCCCGAGGGAACGGCAUGGAGCUGUGUCAGGAGAGGGGCAGGUUGGAUAUCCCUUUCCAACUGGGGAUAUUCUGGUACUCUAUCUCCAGGUAGAGGCUGAGCACAUCCCCCGCAGGGCAAUCAGACCUCUGGAAGUUAUGCCAGACUCCUGCAUUUCCAUUCUGUUUCUGGCAGGCUUGAUGUGAGGCCACAGGCUUGUUGUUUCUGCCUUUUUGUCUUCAUUUGUCCACCUGAGAGAGCUAAAAGUCAGGCUUUGAUGAUUAGUUGUUUAAUAAAUUCUGUUGUGCUUUGCAUAUGCAACACAUGAUUUAUGCAUUCUUGUGGCUGUGUCCCGUGCUGUCAUUAAAAGCCCAGGAGUGGUUGAAUAACAACAGGUGAUCAUAUUUUGGCAGCCUAUUUCACAGAUGCAUCAGGUUGCAAACAGAAUGUAAUGUGAUUUGAAAUACAGUAUUUGAAAAUGUUAUGAGCUCUCACAUUUGUUUGGAUUAGCAUAAGCUCUCUGCUCUCCCUCCCCUCAUCUAAUUUCCCACAUGUUUAAACUAUAAAUACAGCUGAAUUUAAAUGUAAUCCUCAUGCCUUACCAACUCAUCUUCAUCAAAAAAAAAGCACAUCAUUAAGAAAAAGUAGUGUCCCGGGGCCUGGCCCCCUGGUUCCAAAUACAGUGCAGGCUUGCCACAGCUAAAAGCAAAAAGUAUGCCAGUAUCUCCUUUAAAUGUAUCUCCUUAGCGUAAUAAAUCCGUAUCAAAGGUCUUGUAGAUGCAAAAGAAUCUAGGUUCAGGUUUAUCAAAGUAUUUCUGUAAUUUUAGGAUGCCUUAUUUCAUAAACACUUAUUACAUGUAAGCAGUCAUGGUGCCUGAAGAAAACGUGCAGUAUAAUCUAUUAUUGAUUAUUUCUACAAUCUUCAAAAGCAUCUGGAGUUUGUCUCGGGGCAGAAAAGGAGAAGCUGAGCAUGUAGUAUUUACACUGGGGAGCUGCCAGUGCAAUUCUAUCUUCUAAGUAUGCUGACCCAAACCCAGCAAACCUGGAAGAGGAUAGAGAGCAUUACAUUGUACCCCAUUCAUAUGUAACGGGCAGUUAAAUGGAAUAUGUUUGCUUUGGGCUUGGGCUUUUUGCUUGGUACAACGAAGGUUUCUGCAAGGACCAUUAACUUCAACUGGGGGAGUGUCUGAUAUAUGAAGAAACUCAUCACCAAGAAGCUGUAUAGAGAACCUUGGAAAAUGGUCUCUCUGUGGCAGGCUUUGCCCCAGCCAAGGCUUUGUCCCAGUGCAGUUUUGGGAACCACAGCAAAGGUAACACCAUCCAGACUGGAAAGUAAUUUACAGAAUGAGUGAAAUCAACAGAGGAGGCAAAAAAAACACUUUUCAGGAAGACUUCUUCCAAGAAGGAAGAUGUAAGCACUAAAAUAUUUAGAAAAACUGAAUUUCCUAGAAUUCAGAUACUCAGAUUCCUCUCAGUUUCUGCCUGCCCUCCCGUGGAGAAGACAAUGACUACUGAAAGAGAUAGUCAUUGGAAGCACAAGAGCAUGUAGUUUGAUUGAGAUGAGCUGUCUCAGUAGGAAAAGAGAGAAGCAAGGCACCAAGAGCAGCCUGGUACAGUUCUCACAUGGUGGCAAGACAGCCUGUGCAAGAGGAAAUGGUCAGGAAAACCUGAGGUAUGCAACAGAGGCAUCAGAGUAGCCAUUCUGAGUCGGGCUGUGGGUCAGUUUGGCCCAGUAUUGAGUCUCUGGUCAUAGCAGCCACAGAGAACAAGAGUAGAGAAUAGAUUAGGCACAUUUUCCCAAAGUAUUCUUCUAGCCGUUGAAAGUUUCUUGACCCAGAAGGGUUAUUCUGGCACUUAAAAGCCUGAGUAGAUGUUUGUCAGUUUACUUAGUUGCUUUCAAACUAGUGUGAUUGUUUUCCCCCAUCUCUGCAAAGAAUCAUUUCCUUUGGUUAACUCUGAUCCGGUGCCACUGAGUGGGACAAAGGGCUUACAUGAGACAACCAGCAGUCACUCCCCACCCUCCUUCUCACACUGCUUGAUGCUGCUGGCACAUCCAUGCUUGGACAGGUCCAUUUACAGGCUGAAGACUCCUGGUUUCUAUGGCGACUCCUGGUGUGGAAGCCAUCCCAAAACUUUGAAUAAACACUUCACCCUGAGAUCACCAUCUUCACAAGUUUCAAAUCUGCUGGCAUAGAAAGGAUCUUUUUUUUUUUCUUUCACAAGGGCAUCCAUCCUGUGACAUGAAUGUCACCCCUUUCACAUUGCCCAGACUCACAGCCACAAGCCUUGCUCUUACAAACUGCUCAGCCCCAUUGCCAGGUCACGCUACAAGCUGACAGCCAAUUUUCUGCCCUAGCCCCACCUCAUUCCACAGCACUUUUUUGAUACUGAUGUUUUCCACACACCUCCAGCCCCCUCAAACUGCUAUAUGUCUGUUCAUUUAUUUUGGUUGUAUUAGCUUGUAUUGCCCAGGUUGAAUUUUAUUACUAUAUCCUCCAAAUAAGGUUUCUGCCUGCAUGAUAGAGUCUUUGCUUCCUACUAUGAGAUUAGCUGCAAAUUUAAUUUGGCAGCUAUUCAUCCCCUCUUGAUACCUACCAUUAACAGCAAUAAAAGUAGAAUUCAACAACUGAGAUUCCCAGCACCCUUUGGGUACCUGUUCUUAUUUCAAUAUAAGGUUGUUGAUUGUUCUGUUUUAUCUAUUUACAGUCCUCCAAGUAGUGUUCAGUAUACAGAGCAACUCCCUGACAUGCUAUUAAUCACUGUCACUGAAACGACUGUAGAAAAGAUACUUGGCCGUGAGCCAGUACUUUUGGGAUCGCGUUAACAGUUUCCUGUCGUAUUUCAAUCACUUGUGCUGUGCAAAAUAACCCCCAGUGUCCCUCCCUCAGGGUAUUAAGUAAAGAUUGCAGCCCCUGUGAUAAGAAAGGGUUCUCACAAACAUUAAUCUGCAGGGCGCUGUUGGGCAGGAAGAAAAGGGUGAGAGCAUUGCCACAUGGCCUUUUCCUGCACAGAGGACUUCAUAUAGUCACCUGUACUUGUGGGGAAGAACCCUCUUUCCCUGUCAUCCUCUCACUGCUACAAAUAUUGGGGUACUUGUGGGUGGCUUUCAGCAUCCAGAGCUUUCAGUUUAUGCAGAUUUAGAAGAUUCUUAAUUAAACAACAGAAGGCAUGUUAUCCUGUCUCCUUUCAUCAGCUUGGUAUCCAUCAACUACAGCUGGCACAAACCAAUUAUCCCUGUGGCAACCACAGCUUUUGACAGCUCUUGACACAGAUCACUUGCAACCUGUAGGCACCCCGUGCUAUUUCUGUGCUUUUGCAGCUGAUCAGUGGCUGUGCUGAGCACCUCCUUUUCUUCAAGGAGUAGCACUUCAAGGAGCUACUGGACUUCUGCAGUAAUGGCAGCCAGCGGUGGUGCAGCACUGGGGAUAUUGGCCUUCAUGCUCAGGAGCAAGUUUAAGUUGAUACUCAGACUCUCUUUGGUUGGCUGUCUGUCCCUGCAGCCCAGCACUGCCAUGCUGGGUGAUGGACACCCUGAGGUAAGCAGCCCCUGAAUUAGUUGUAUGGCAGGACUAUGACACACACCCCACCGCUCAGGUUCUGGGAGACAGGAGGUUGUAUCCAGAUGCCUAUAAAGUGCUGUGGCCAUCAGUAGGAGCAGCACACAGAGGCAGCAGUAACCCACUGCAACAUAUUAGAGGAGGAAAAGAAUAAUG
Gallus gallus (chicken) is the source of this 5248-nucleotide long non-coding RNA. RefSeq lists it as uncharacterized. NCBI's taxonomy places the organism in Eukaryota, Metazoa, Chordata, Aves, Galliformes, Phasianidae. The transcript has 3 exons. The record is from RefSeq and is a predicted model, not a curated record.